RNAcentral lists this ribosomal RNA (440 nucleotides) under uncultured bacterium. RNAcentral describes it as "bacterial SSU rRNA". It matches the Rfam family "Bacterial small subunit ribosomal RNA", at positions 338 to 771 of the family's 1533-position model. The record is from RNAcentral.
CCUACGGGGGGCAGCAGUGGGGAAUCUUGCGCAAUGGGCGAAAGCCUGACGCAGCGACGCCGCGUGAGUGAUGAAGGCCUUCGGGUUGUAAAGCUCUGUGGAGAGGGACGAAUAAGUCGUGGCUAACAUCCACGAUGAUGACGGUACCUCUUUAGCAAGCACCGGCUAACUCUGUGCCAGCAGCCGCGGUAAGACAGAGGGUGCAAACGUUGUUCGGAAUUACUGGGCGUAAAGCGCGUGUAGGCUGCUCCGAUAGUCGGAUGUGAAAGCCCUGGGCUCAACCUAGGAAGUGCAUUCGAUACUCCGGAGCUCGAGUCCUGGAGAGGAAGGCGGAAUUCUCGGUGUAGAGGUGAAAUUCGUAGAUAUCGAGAGGAACACCGGUGGCGAAGGCGGCCUUCUGGACAGUGACUGACGCUGAGACGCGAAAGCGUGGGGAGCAA